This 21-nucleotide non-coding RNA is filed under the name Arabidopsis thaliana (thale cress). The record is from RNAcentral. Lineage: Eukaryota; Viridiplantae; Streptophyta; Magnoliopsida; Brassicales; Brassicaceae.
CCUCGCGGGUGCACCGCCGAC